Long non-coding RNA from Pantherophis guttatus, 651 nucleotides. RefSeq lists it as uncharacterized. Lineage: Eukaryota; Metazoa; Chordata; Lepidosauria; Squamata; Colubridae. The record is from RefSeq and is a predicted model, not a curated record.
AGCAUUCACCAUUGUCUCAGCAACCUCCCACAAAAGAGAAGGUUGAAAACUGAUGAUAAUUGUUUAACGCUCCUGGAUUCAGGAAAGACUUCAAGAAAUGGGACACCACAAUUUCCUUAAAGACCACUGGCAGGUUCCUCAUGAACUGAGGUGUAGCAAUCUAUCAGCAUUUUGUGGUAGGCCAAUCAAGAAACAGACACCUCAGAAAUUUCAGGAGUGCUGUUUAUUGUUGAAUGGUAGAGUAAGAAAAUCCUGAAAACUCUUCUUCUUUCUCAAGUUUCUUUUAAUUCUUUCUCAAAGUCUUCCUUAAAUGGCAUAUUCCUUCCUUUCCCAUUUUCAAGGACAGCUCUGCGUUUCUUCAUACAAUCUACCAGAAAUGGGAAACUCCAACUGCCAUAAAUAUGUGUCAGUUGCCAACUGUCUGAAUUUUGAUCACAUGACCAUCGGGAUGCUGCAACAGUUGCUUUCUACUUGAAGCCUCGUAUCCGAUUACCAUGCCUGAGCCUGCAUAGGAUUUCUAUGACCAGCCAAGGUUGGCUCGAUGCUGCUUCCUGCUGUUGUCUUUUGCUGGAAACAGGUGAUAAGAAUGCAGGGUGACAUUUCUGGCCUCAGCUCAUUAAAAUAUCUGUGGAAUUAAACAAUUAAUUAAAA